CCGAUCUUAGCUCAGUUGGUAGAGCGGAGGACUGUAGAUCCUUAGGUCGCUGGUUCGAAUCCGGCAGGUCGGA
Molecule: non-coding RNA, 73 nt
Organism: Macadamia integrifolia
Lineage: Eukaryota; Viridiplantae; Streptophyta; Magnoliopsida; Proteales; Proteaceae
Source: the annotation of a RefSeq genome assembly